This 465-nucleotide ribosomal RNA is filed under the name uncultured bacterium. Its description in RNAcentral is "bacterial SSU rRNA". It matches the Rfam family "Bacterial small subunit ribosomal RNA", at positions 917 to 1382 of the family's 1533-position model. The record is from RNAcentral.
GGGCCCGCACAAGCGGAGGAACAUGUGGUUUAAUUCGAUGAUACGCGAGGAACCUUACCUGGGCUUAAAUGUGCUUUGACUGCUGGUGAAAGCUGGCUUUCCGCAAGGACAGAGUACAAGGUGCUGCAUGGUUGUCGUCAGCUCGUGCCGUGAGGUGUCGGGUUAAGUCCCAUAACGAGCGCAACCCUUAUUGUUAGUUGCUAACAGGUCAAGCUGAGGACUCUAACGAGACUGCCACCGUAAGGUGUGAGGAAGGUGGGGAUGACGUCAAAUCAGCACGGCCCUUAUGUCCAGGGCUACACACGUGUUACAAUGGCCGAUACAAAGGGCAGCUACUUGGUGACAAGAUGCUAAUCUCAAAAGUCGGUCUCAGUUCGGAUCGGAGUCUGCAACCCGACUCCGUGAAGCUGGAUUCGCUAGUAAUCGCGCAUCAGCCAUGGCGCGGUGAAUACGUUCCCGGGCCUU